AGCGUUCGUGGGGCCCCCACACCAGUUCCUCGGUGCCUCCGCCCGUGAUGUGAUUAGCCGAGACCUGUGCCUUUAAGGAGUGCCCCCUUCCUCGGCCCUUCCCCCUCCAAUUACAGCACUAAUUUCAGUAAUGGAGCAUUAAUAGAGUAAUGGGCGAGUGAGGCUGGCCUGAAGGAACUGUGGAGCUCAGCACAAAUUGAGUAAAUAAACCAUGUAUUAGAUUUCUAAACAAUACUUUUAGUCUGGUCUCCAGGGAAAGAGAGUCUUCAAGACUUAUUUAAGUCAUCCCUGCAAAGUGUAUGUAAAAGAAGCCUCCUUUCAGAGCUUGGUUGUUUGUAGAAGCAGGAAAUCUCUCUCUCUCAUCCCGGGGAUGGGAGA
RNAcentral lists this long non-coding RNA (378 nucleotides) under Homo sapiens (human). Its description in RNAcentral is "HSALNT0121100". Lineage: Eukaryota; Metazoa; Chordata; Mammalia; Primates; Hominidae. The record is from RNAcentral.